Molecule: ribosomal RNA, 253 nt
Filed under: uncultured bacterium
Lineage: Bacteria
Description: partial 16S ribosomal RNA
Rfam family: Bacterial small subunit ribosomal RNA
Source: RNAcentral
UACGUAGGGCGCAAGCGUUGUCCGGAAUUAUUGGGCGUAAAGCGCGCGCAGGCGGUCCUUUAAGUCUGAUGUGAAAUCCCGUGGCUUAACCACGGGCGGUCAUUGGAAACUGGGGGACUUGAGUGCAGAAGAGAAGAGCGGAAUUCCACGUGUAGCGGUGAAAUGCGUAGAGAUGUGGAGGAACACCAGUGGCGAAGGCGGCUCUUUGGUCUGUAACUGACGCUGAGGCGCGAAAGCGUGGGGAGCGAACAGG